Molecule: ribosomal RNA, 1302 nt
Filed under: Triticum aestivum (bread wheat)
Lineage: Eukaryota; Viridiplantae; Streptophyta; Magnoliopsida; Poales; Poaceae
Description: partial small subunit ribosomal RNA
Source: RNAcentral
AUGCCGCCGAAGAAGAGAAAUCGGGAGGAAGGGGAGCACCAAGACCUAGACAAAGAAGCCAAAGGUACGUCCGGAGGGGGCUUCGAUGCCCGCGCGGUGUCCUUCCUGUUCGGCCAUGCCACUGACUCGGAGCCGGCGCCGGAGCCCGCUUGCCCUCCAUCCCCCCCCUCCUCCUCCUCCUCCGACGAGAACAAGUCGGACGACGACGACGAUUUCAGCGCGGAGGGCUUGAGGGCGAGGGACGCUGCGCUCAGCGUGUCCAGUUCCGUCGUGUCCAUCGCCGCCUCCACUGAUGGGGAUGCUCCGAACACCUUCGCCUGCACGGGCACGGUGGUCGCUCAUGAGGCCUCUUCCACCUGGAUCAUAACCUCUGCAGCUCUCAUCAGGAAGCCCGAAAGCGACACCGAGGUGCACGAACCUCACGCCGUCAAGAUCGAGGUGCUCCUGAAUAACAAGAAGGUUGUCAAGGGGCGGUUGCUCAUGUACGACUUGCUGUAUAAUGUCGCCAUUGUUUCCAUUGCGCGAGCCAAUCUCCCCGCGGUCAUACUCGACGACCUCCCGGACACUUAUUUCUUGACGCCUGGUCCGGUGGUUGCUGUUGCCAGGAAAUUUGAGACUGGGAGGCUGCAGAUGAAAUGCGGGGAAACGCUCCGUGCAGUUUGCGAGUUAGAUUGCGAUGAACUCAUGCUCAGCACUUGCCAAAUUGAGCAGAAUUUUUUCAUUGGGGGCCUUCUGGUGGAUUUAGAGAAAAGGAUUCUUGGGAUGAAUUUCAUAGACGAGAGAACCACCCCCUUCUUGCCAGUUCAGAUUGUUGGGAGAUGCCUUAGACACUUCAAAGCAUAUGGGGAAAUCAAGCAACCUUGGCUUGGAAUAAGGGGUCGUUCCCUUCACUUGAUGGAAUCAGCCAGACUGGAGGAAAUAUGCCAUAACUUCCCUAAGCCACCUUCUGGAGUAUUUGUGGACAUGAUUCCUGAAGCAACAUCUGCAAAUUGUGGGGGCGUCGAGGUUGGUGAUAUCCUUAAUCAACUUGAUGGAGUUGUUUUGCACUCUACAGCACAGCUUACUUCGAUGCUCCUGGACAAAAUGGAGGUUGUGAUGCAUGAGCGCAGACCGGUCAUCCUCAAGGCACUCAUCCAGAGACCCAAUGACGGGGCAACGGUUGCUGCAGAGUUGAUAGUAGCCGAGCGUCCCCCCGGCGAAUGUCAUACGUUAUUGAACAACAGGUGGAGACUGCCCCCGCCAACAGUGUAUUAUUGGGGCCACCCGGAUAUAUGUGAUUGGGUUGAUGACGACUCUGACUGA